AGGGAAUCUUCCACAAUGGACGGAAGUCUGAUGGAGCAACGCCGCGUGAGUGAUGAAGGUUUUCGGAUCGUAAAACUCUGUUGUAAGGGAAGAACCAGUACGUCAGGCAAUGGACGUACCUUGACGGUACCUUAUUAGAAAGCCCCGGCUAACUACGUGCCAGCAGCCGCGGUAAUACGUAGGGGGCGAGCGUUGCCCGGAAUUACUGGGCGUAAAGGGAACGUAGGUGGCUCUUAAAGUCAGGUGUGAAAAUAACGAAGCUUAACAGGUUAAUGCGCUUGAAACUAAAGGGCUUGAGGGCAAUAGAGGGAGAUGGAAUUACCUGUGUAGGGGUGAAAUCCGCAGAUAUAGGUAAGAAGGCCGGUGGGGAAGCCGAUCUCCUGGGUUGACUCUGACACUGAGGUUCGAAAGCUAGGGGAGCAAACC
This 426-nucleotide ribosomal RNA is filed under the name uncultured bacterium. RNAcentral describes it as "bacterial SSU rRNA". It matches the Rfam family "Bacterial small subunit ribosomal RNA", at positions 356 to 774 of the family's 1533-position model. The record is from RNAcentral.